This 253-nucleotide ribosomal RNA is filed under the name uncultured bacterium. RNAcentral describes it as "partial 16S ribosomal RNA". It matches the Rfam family "Bacterial small subunit ribosomal RNA", at positions 524 to 776 of the family's 1533-position model. The record is from RNAcentral.
UACGUAGGGGGCAAGCGUUGUCCGGAAUCAUUGGGCGUAAAGAGCGCGUAGGCGGCCCGGUAAGUCCGUUGUGAAAGUCAAAGGCUCAACCUUUGAACGCCGAUGGAUACUGCCGGGCUAGAGUCCGGAAGAGGCGAGUGGAAUUCCUGGUGUAGCGGUGGAAUGCGCAGAUAUCAGGAGGAACACCAAUAGCGAAGGCAGCUCGCUGGGACGGUACUGACGCUGAGGCGCGAAAGCGUGGGUAGCAAACGGG